CCUACGGGUGGCAGCAGUAGGGAAUCUUCCACAAUGGGCGCAAGCCUGAUGGAGCAACACCGCGUGAGUGAAGAAGGGUUUCGGCUCGUAAAGCUCUGUUGUUGGAGAAGAACGUGCGUGAGAGUAACUGUUCACGCAGUGACGGUAUCCAACCAGAAAGUCACGGCUAACUACGUGCCAGCAGCCGCGGUAAUACGUAGGUGGCAAGCGUUAUCCGGGUUUAUUGGGCGUAAAGCGAGAGCAGGCGGUUGCUUAGGUCUGAGGGGAAAGCCUUCGGGUUAACCGAAGAAGGGCAUCGGAAACCGGUCAACUUGAGUGCAGAAGAGGACAGUGGAACUCCAUGUGUAGCGGUGGAAUGCGUAGAUAUAUGGAAGAACACCAGUGGCGAAGGCGGCUGUCUGGUCUGCAACUGACGCUGAGGCUCGAAAGCAUGGGUAGCGAACAGGAUUAGAUACCCUUGUAGUC
RNAcentral lists this ribosomal RNA (465 nucleotides) under uncultured bacterium. Its description in RNAcentral is "partial 16S ribosomal RNA". It matches the Rfam family "Bacterial small subunit ribosomal RNA", at positions 338 to 795 of the family's 1533-position model. The record is from RNAcentral.